CCAGAAGAGAGAGAGCACAGC
This 21-nucleotide microRNA is filed under the name Marchantia polymorpha subsp. ruderalis. The record is from RNAcentral. Lineage: Eukaryota; Viridiplantae; Streptophyta; Marchantiopsida; Marchantiales; Marchantiaceae.